GCCGCUCUAGGCCAACCCUCGAAGGCCGAGGUCCUCCGACGUUGACGUGCUCCGCCCCAGCGGUGCGUUUGCCGGGUGGCGCGUGCGCGUCUUGCUCCGCUGCGGGCGGUUAACGGUCGCGCUCGCGCCGCUCUUCCCUCUCUCCCUCCCCCUCCCCCCCCUCAGCCUCUGCUCGCGCGGGGCUGCCGGGGUUCGGUGCCUUCGAGAAGUUUCCCUCGCUCAGGGCUGAGGUGACCGUUAGGGAGUCUCGACAGCCCCCAUGCACCUGCCGCGUCAGCCUUCCACGGGAGUCUCGUUUCCUUAAGAAAUCGGAAUUCAGCCACGAUUCAUCCUUAGGAGGAGCCAAGUCCAAACUCCAAAGACCGGGAGCUGACUUAAAGUUCUUUACUGGAGUCUGCAUGCUUUGUUGUGAACUCCACAGGUGGUGAUGGAUGUCUACUGUUCCAGGAAGUGCCAGGUUUUGUACACUGGUUAUUAUUGAUGAGGUUGUGCUCCUUCCCUCCCUGUCCUCCAGGCAUUUGAGAAAG
This 527-nucleotide long non-coding RNA is filed under the name Apteryx rowi (Okarito brown kiwi). Its description in RNAcentral is "lncRNA (ENSARWG00000003159.1)". Lineage: Eukaryota; Metazoa; Chordata; Aves; Apterygiformes; Apterygidae. The record is from RNAcentral.